GGGGGAAUCAGGGUUCGAUACCGGAGAGGGAGCCUGAGAAACGGCUACCACAUCCAAGGAAGGCAGCAGGCACGCAAAUUACCCACUCCCGGCUCGGGGAGGUAGUGACGAAAAAUAACAAUACGAGACUCAUCCGAGGCUUCGUAAUUGGAAUGGGUACACUUUAAAUCCUUUAACGAGGAUCUAUUGGAGGGCAAGUCUGGUGCCAGCAGCCGCGGUAAUUCCAGCUCCAAUAGCGUAUAUUAAAGUUGCUGCGGUUAAAAAGCUCGUAGUUGGAUCUCAGUCUCGGUCGGACGGUCCACUUCACGGUGGUACUGUUCGAAUCGGACAUUUGGCCGCCUUUCUCAGUAUGCUCUUCACUGAGUGUAUUGGGAGAGUGGCACGUUUACUUUGAAAAAAUUAGAGUGCUCAAAGCAGGCAAUUGCCUGAAUCUUCGUGCAUGGAAUGAUGGAAUAGGGCCUCGGUUCUAUUUUGUUGGUUUCCGGAACUCGAGGUAAUGAUUAAGAGGGACGGACGGGGGCAUUCGUAUUGCGACGUUAGAGGUGAAAUUCUUAGAUCGUCGCAAGACGAACUACUGCGAAAGCAUUUGCCAAGAAUGUUUUCAUUAAUCAAGAACGAAAGUCAGAGGUUCGAAGGCGAUCAGAUACCGCCCUAGUUCUGACCUUAAACGAUGCUAUCUGGCGAUCCGUCGGUGUUAAUUCCAAUGACCCGACGGGCAGCUUCCGGGAAACCAAAGUGUUCAAGUUCCGGGGGAAGUAUGGUUGCAAAACUGGAACUUAAAGGAAUUGACGGAAGGGCACCACCAGGAGUGGAGCCUGUGGCUUAAUUUGACCCAACACGGGAAAUCUCACCAGGCCCGGACACUGGCAGGAUUGACAGAUUGAUAGCUCUUUCUUGAUUCAGUGGGUGGUGGUGCAUGGCCGUUCUUAGUUGGUGGAGUGAUUUGUCUGGUUAAUUCCGAUAACGAACGAGACCCCGUCCUACUUACUAGACUGAGGAUUCUUUUGUCCUCAGAAUCUUCUUAGAGGGACAACUGGCGUUUAUCUAGCUACAUGAAAUGGGGCAAUAACAGGUCUGUGAUGCCCUUAGAUGUUCUGGGCCGCACACGCGCUACACUGAAGGGAUCAUCGUGUUUGUCCUAGCCUGAAAAGGCCGGGAAAUCCGUUGAAAUCUCUUCGUGCUAGGGAUUGAGGCUUGCAAUUUUUUCUCAUGAACGAGGAAUUCCCAGUAAGUGCGAGUCAUAAGCUCGCGCUGAUUACGUCCCUGCCCUUUGUACACACCGCCCGUCGCUACUACCGAUUGGAUGAUUUAGUGAGGCCUUCGGACUGGCUGCUAGUGGGGCGCUUGUGUCCUGCUGGUGGAUCGGGAAGAUGUUCAAACUGUAUCAUCUAGAGGAAGUAAAAGUCGUAACAAGGUU
RNAcentral lists this ribosomal RNA (1417 nucleotides) under metagenome. Its description in RNAcentral is "SSU rRNA". It matches the Rfam family "Eukaryotic small subunit ribosomal RNA", at positions 363 to 1801 of the family's 1831-position model. The record is from RNAcentral.